RNAcentral lists this ribosomal RNA (449 nucleotides) under uncultured bacterium. Its description in RNAcentral is "bacterial SSU rRNA". It matches the Rfam family "Bacterial small subunit ribosomal RNA", at positions 328 to 792 of the family's 1533-position model. The record is from RNAcentral.
GGUCCAGACUCCUACGGGAGGCAGCAGUGGGGGAUAUUGCACAAUGGGGGAAACCCUGAUGCAGCGACGCCGCGUGGACGAAGAAGUAUUUCGGUAUGUAAAGCCCUAUCAGCAGGGAAGAAGAAAUGACGGUACCUGAGUAAGAAGCACCGGCUAAAUACGUGCCAGCAGCCGCGGUAAUACGUAUGGUGCAAGCGUUAUCCGGAUUUACUGGGUGUAAAGGGAGCGUAGACGGCGAUACAAGUCUGAAGUGAAAGCCCGGGGCUCAACCCCGGGACUGCUUUGGAAACUGUGUUGCUGGAGUGCUGGAGAGGCAAGCGGAAUUCCUAGUGUAGCGGUGAAAUGCGUAGAUAUUAGGAAGAACACCAGUGGCGAAGGCGGCUUGCUGGACAGUAACUGACGUUGAGGCUCGAAAGCGUGGGGAGCAAACAGGAUUAGAUACCCCAGUA